This 199-nucleotide ribosomal RNA is filed under the name Pocillopora damicornis (cauliflower coral). Its description in RNAcentral is "partial 28S ribosomal RNA". It matches the Rfam family "Eukaryotic large subunit ribosomal RNA", at positions 22 to 215 of the family's 3401-position model. The record is from RNAcentral. Lineage: Eukaryota; Metazoa; Cnidaria; Anthozoa; Scleractinia; Pocilloporidae.
CUACCCGCUGAAUUUAAGCAUAUUAAUAAGCGGAGGAAAAGAAACUAACAAGGAUUCCCCCAGUAACGACGAGUGAAGCGGGAAGAGCUCAAAUUUGAAAUCUCCGAUGCCUGCAUCGGCGAGUUGUAGUUGCGAGAAGCACUUUCUAGGCGGAGGGGCCCUGCCUAAGUUGCUUGGAACGGCCCGUCGCAGAGGGUGA